RNAcentral lists this ribosomal RNA (466 nucleotides) under uncultured bacterium. RNAcentral describes it as "partial 16S ribosomal RNA". It matches the Rfam family "Bacterial small subunit ribosomal RNA", at positions 28 to 505 of the family's 1533-position model. The record is from RNAcentral.
GACGAACGCUGGCGGCGUGCUUAACACAUGCAAGUCGAACGGAGAGGCCCUGCUUUUGUGGGGUGCUCGAGUGGCGAACGGGUGAGUAACACGUGAGUAACCUGCCCUUGACUUUGGGAUAACUUCAGGAAACUGGGGCUAAUACCGGAUAGGAGCUCCUGCUGCAUGGUGGGGGUUGGAAAGUUUCGGCGGUUGGGGAUGGACUCGCGGCUUAUCAGCUUGUUGGUGGGGUAGUGGCUUACCAAGGCUUUGACGGGUAGCCGGCCUGAGAGGGUGACCGGCCACAUUGGGACUGAGAUACGGCCCAGACUCCUACGGGAGGCAGCAGUGGGGAAUAUUGCACAAUGGGCGGAAGCCUGAUGCAGCAACGCCGCGUGCGGGAUGACGGCCUUCGGGUUGUAAACCGCUUUCGCCUGUGACGAAGCGUGAGUGACGGUAAUGGGUAAAGAAGCACCGGCUAACUACG